GGGGACGUAGAUCAAUUGGUUAGAUCAUCACUCUGUCACAGUGAAGGUUGCCGGUUCGAGCCCGGUCGUCCCCG
This 74-nucleotide transfer RNA is filed under the name Patescibacteria group bacterium. RNAcentral's name for it is "tRNA-Asp". It matches the Rfam family "tRNA". Rfam says of the family: Transfer RNA (tRNA) molecules are approximately 80 nucleotides in length. Their secondary structure includes four short double-helical elements and three loops (D, anti-codon, and T loops). The record is from RNAcentral. RNAcentral also lists the same sequence under 1 other name.